Betta splendens (Siamese fighting fish) is the source of this 295-nucleotide long non-coding RNA. RefSeq lists it as uncharacterized. Lineage: Eukaryota; Metazoa; Chordata; Actinopteri; Anabantiformes; Osphronemidae. The record is from RefSeq and is a predicted model, not a curated record. The transcript has 3 exons.
GCCACUGAGCUGAUGUCGUCUGCUAACUAACGCGCAUAUGUAGACACCAGCUAUUCAGUAAAUUAUGGAUUUGAUCUAUGUAUAAGAACAAUAUCACAUGUUUAGUUUGAAAUUAAUGGCUUCAAGUUGCGUUAAAACAAAUGGGCAAUCCACGCGCUAACUGCCGCGGGGUCUCCUCCUCCGAGCGCUAUCAGCCAAUGGCAGAAGCGCAGCGCCACACGCUUAGAGCGCCACCUAAAGGCAAUCAAGUGUCAGCUGAGGUGGCAAAUGUGAAAUCAAGACACCACUCUUAAAA